RNAcentral lists this transfer RNA (66 nucleotides) under Vertigo pusilla. Its description in RNAcentral is "tRNA-Asn". Lineage: Eukaryota; Metazoa; Mollusca; Gastropoda; Stylommatophora; Vertiginidae. The record is from RNAcentral.
CUAAACUUAGCUUAAAAUUUAAGCAUUUAAAUGUUAAUUAAAAGAUACUUUUCCUAGUAGUUUAGA